Molecule: Y RNA, 112 nt
Filed under: Prolemur simus (greater bamboo lemur)
Lineage: Eukaryota; Metazoa; Chordata; Mammalia; Primates; Lemuridae
Description: Y RNA (ENSPSMG00000021699.1)
Rfam family: Y RNA
About the family: Y RNAs are components of the Ro ribonucleoprotein particle (Ro RNP), in association with Ro60 and La proteins. The Y RNAs and Ro60 and La proteins are well conserved, but the function of the Ro RNP is not known.
Source: Rfam by way of RNAcentral
GGCUGGUCUGAAGGUAGUGAGUUAUCUUGCUUGAUUGUUCAGUCAGUUACAUAUUGAACUCCUUUUUCUACCACUUUCCUCCCUUCUCACUACUGCACUUGACUAGUCUAAA